GGAAUCUUCCACAAUGGGCGCAAGCCUGAUGGAGCAACACCGCGUGAGUGAAGAAGGGUUUCGGCUCGUAAAGCUCUGUUGUUAGAGAAGAACGUGCGUGAGAGUAACUGUUCACGCAGUGACGGUAUCUAACCAGAAAGUCACGGCUAACUACGUGCCAGCAGCCGCGGUAAUACGUAGGUGGCAAGCGUUAUCCGGAUUUAUUGGGCGUAAAGCGAGCGCAGGCGGUUUGAUAAGUCUGAUGUGAAAGCCUUUGGCUUAACCAAAGAAGUGCAUCGGAAACUGGGAAACUUGAGUGCAGAAGAGGACAGUGGAACUCCAUGUGUAGCGGUGAAAUGCGUAGAUAUCAGGAGGAACACCGGAGGCGAAGGCGGCUUACUGGACUGUAACUGACGUUGAGGCUCGAAGGCGUGGGGAGCAAACA
RNAcentral lists this ribosomal RNA (424 nucleotides) under uncultured Lactobacillus sp. RNAcentral describes it as "bacterial SSU rRNA". It matches the Rfam family "Bacterial small subunit ribosomal RNA", at positions 358 to 774 of the family's 1533-position model. Lineage: Bacteria; Bacillati; Bacillota; Bacilli; Lactobacillales; Lactobacillaceae. The record is from RNAcentral.